CAGUGGACUAGCCCGGGUGGCUCGACGUCAUCUGUAACCCGAAACCGUCGAUAUGCGGGGGGCGAAGCCUUAGGAAGGUUUUUCUGCCUUCAGAGUAGCUUUGAAAGGCUGCUGUAGAUGUCUUGUUCCAUGUGGUCGCCGGUGAUAUAGGAUAUAUCGGAAGGUAUAUUCCAUAUUCUUUAUCGUGCAGACCGGUUCAGGCCCGGAAGGGAGCAGACUUAGCACGAACGUACGACGCUCAUGGAGUGGCAGGACGGAGGCGGUUUUCAAAAGCACCUGGAGGUUAAGAUUUUCCGACCGAUGGCGUGUCCACUG
RNAcentral lists this signal recognition particle RNA (315 nucleotides) under Candidatus Methanoliparum thermophilum. RNAcentral's name for it is "signal recognition particle sRNA". It matches the Rfam family "Archaeal signal recognition particle RNA". Lineage: Archaea; Methanobacteriati; Methanobacteriota; Candidatus Methanoliparia; Candidatus Methanoliparales; Candidatus Methanoliparaceae. The record is from RNAcentral.